Molecule: ribosomal RNA, 450 nt
Filed under: uncultured bacterium
Lineage: Bacteria
Description: bacterial SSU rRNA
Rfam family: Bacterial small subunit ribosomal RNA
Source: RNAcentral
AACGAACGCUGGCGGCAGGCCUAACACAUGCAAGUCGAGCGCCCACUUUGUGGGAGCGGCGCACGGGUGAGUAACGCGUGGGAAUGUACCCUUUAGUACGGAAUAGCCUCGGGAAACUGGGAUUAAUACCGUAUACGCCCUUCGGGGGAAAGAUUUAUCGCUAAAGGAUCAGCCCGCGUGACAUUAGCUAGUUGGUAAGGUAAUGGCUUACCAAGGCAACGAUGUCUAGCUGGUCUGAGAGGAUGAUCAGCCACACUGGAACUGAGACACGGUCCAGACUCCUACGGGAGGCAGCAGUGAGGAAUAUUGGCAAUGGGCGAAAGCCUGACCCAGCCAUGCCGCGUGUGUGAUGAAGGCCCUAGGGUUGUAAAGCACUUUCAUUGGUGAAGAUAAUGACGGUAACCAAAGAAGAAGCCCCCGGCUAAACUUCGUGCCAGCAGCCGCGGUAAU